GGGCCAGUAGGUUGGUCGUGCCACCGGUACGUACUGGUCUCACUGAUUCCUCCUUCCUGAAGAACCGUAAUGCCAUUAAUUUGGUGUUGCGGGGAAACAGGACUGUUACUUUGAAAAAAUUAGAGUGUUUAAAGCAAGCUAACGCUUGAAUACAUUAGCAUGGAAUAAUGAAAUAGGACGAUCGAUCCUAUUUUGUUGGCUUCUAGGAUUGACGUA
Molecule: ribosomal RNA, 216 nt
Filed under: Glomeromycotina sp.
Lineage: Eukaryota; Fungi; Glomeromycota
Description: partial small subunit ribosomal RNA
Rfam family: Eukaryotic small subunit ribosomal RNA (bases 40-216)
Source: RNAcentral